AAACUUCCAACAACAGUAUCUCUUGGUUCUGGCAUCGAUCAAGAACGCAACGAAAUGCGAUAAGUAAUGUGAAUUGCAAAAUUCAGUGAAUCAUCGAAUCUUUGAACGCACAUUGCGCCCGCCAAUAUUCUGGCGGGCAUGCCUGUCCGAGCGUCAUUU
Molecule: ribosomal RNA, 159 nt
Filed under: Trichoderma harzianum
Lineage: Eukaryota; Fungi; Ascomycota; Sordariomycetes; Hypocreales; Hypocreaceae
Description: 5.8S ribosomal RNA
Rfam family: 5.8S ribosomal RNA
About the family: 5.8S ribosomal RNA (5.8S rRNA) is a component of the large subunit of the eukaryotic ribosome. It is transcribed by RNA polymerase I as part of the 45S precursor that also contains 18S and 28S rRNA.
Source: RNAcentral